Molecule: unclassified non-coding RNA, 500 nt
Filed under: Hevea brasiliensis (rubber tree)
Lineage: Eukaryota; Viridiplantae; Streptophyta; Magnoliopsida; Malpighiales; Euphorbiaceae
Source: RNAcentral
CACAAAACUCACCCUUCCGUUUCGCUUCUAUUUAUGCAACUACCAACUUCAUCAUCUUCUUCAAUUCCUUCGCCUUUCUUCUCCCUUCAAUUCACUUCAGUUUCAUUCUGUUGAUCUGAUCGCACUAAACAUGGCUUCCUCUCUCGAUUCCACUGCACUCGACCUUUCUAAGCUUGGCAUCAAUGAAGAUUUCGCCUCAUCUGUUCCUAAUUUGCGGAAGAAUCUCCACCUUCUAUCGCCUGAACAGGUUGAAUUGGUGAAGAUAUUGUUGGAAAUGGGGCAGAGUCAUCUUUUUGAGCAUUGGGCCGAGCCUGGCGUUGAUGAUAAUGAAAAGAAGGCUUUCUUCGACCAGGUUGCUCGGCUUAAUUCUAGCUAUCCUGGGGGGUUGGCCUCCUACAUCAAGACUGCCAGAGGACUCUUAGCAGAUUCCAAAGCAGGAAAGAACCCAUUUGAUGGCUUCACACCCUCUGUUCCAACUGGUGAAGUUUUGACUUUUGGUG